Molecule: ribosomal RNA, 505 nt
Rfam family: Bacterial small subunit ribosomal RNA
GUGACAGGUGGUGCAUGGUUGUCGUCAGCUCGUGUCGUGAGAUGUUGGGUUAAGUCCCGCAACGAGCGCAACCCUUAAGCUUAGUUGCCAUCAUUAAGUUGGGCACUCUAAGUUGACUGCCGGUGACAAACCGGAGGAAGGUGGGGAUGACGUCAAAUCAUCAUGCCCCUUAUGAUUUGGGCUACACACGUGCUACAAUGGACAAUACAAAGGGCAGCGAAACCGCGAGGUCAAGCAAAUCCCAUAAAGUUGUUCUCAGUUCGGAUUGUAGUCUGCAACUCGACUACAUGAAGCUGGAAUCGCUAGUAAUCGUAGAUCAGCAUGCUACGGUGAAUACGUUCCCGGGUCUUGUACACACCGCCCGUCACACCACGAGAGUUUGUAACACCCGAAGCCGGUGGAGUAACCUUUUAGGAGCUAGCCGUCGAAGGUGGGACAAAUGAUUGGGGUGAAGUCGUAACAAGGUAGCCGUAUCGGAAGGUGCGGCUGGAUCACCUCCUUUCUA